CUGUUCACUUUGGGUGUUUGUGUCUAAGGGGUAAGCACAAUACAUUUAUCUAUCAGCAUGGAAUUAUGUUCUCAGAAACCAGUGAUUCUUAUUCAUUCACUGAUUUAACAGAUCACUUAAUGAGUUUGGUCCUGGGCACUGUCCAGGAGCUAAGGAGAUACAAACAUGGAUGGCACAAUCUCUGUUCUCGAGACUGAAUAUUCACAUAGUGACAGAAGUCGUAGAAAUACUUGUCUACUUGGAAGGAGUGAUUCAAUGUGAAGGCUCUGAAGUCAGACACAGAAAAGCACAGCGUUGGAUUCAAAUCCUGGCCAUGUGACUUUAGGCAAGUUAUUGACACUCUCCAAACCUCAGAUUUCUUGUCUCUGUAAUGGGGAUAAUAAUAGUUCCUAAUUCAAAGGGUUGUUAUUCUCCUCAAAUUGAUUAAUAGAUUUAAUGUAAUCCCAAACAAAAUCCCAGCAUUUUAAAAAAAACAUGGAAGUUGAAAAGCAGAGUGAGUCUAAAAUAUAUAAGGCAAUAAAAAGGGACAGGGAUGGCCAAGACAAUGUCAAAGAAGAACAGAGCUGGAAGGAUCAUACUGCCUUAUAACAUGACUUACUCUAAGUCUACAGCAACUAAAACAGUAUGGUUUGGGCCCAAGGAUAGACAAAUAGACUAAAAGAAUAGUCUAGAAAUAGGCUGACAUGCAUAGGUCAGUUAAUUUAUUAAUUUAUGACAAAGAUAACAUUCAGAGCAGUGGGGAAAGGAUUUUUUUUUUUUUUGGUAACAAUAUUUGUUCUUUUGUGUCUUGCUUAUCUCACUUAGCAUAGUGUCUUCAGGAUUCAUGCAGGCUGUGACCUGUGUCAAAAUUUCAUUCCUCUUAGAGGCUGAAUAAUAUUCCAUUGUAUGUGUAUCCCACAUUGUGUUUAUCUGUUCAUCCACUGGUGGACAUCUGUGUUGCUUCCAGCUUUUGGUCACCGCUGUGAGCAAUGCUGCUUUGCAUUUUAGUGUGCAAAUUUCUGUUCGAGUUCUUGUUUUCAGUUCUUUUGAGUGUAUACUCGGAAGUGAAAUUGCUGGGUCAUUUGCUAUUCCAUGUUGAAUUUUUUGAGGAUCUGCCAUCUACUUUCCACACUGGCUGUGCCAUUUUACAUUCCCAUGUGCAUUGUACGAUGUUUCCAAUUUCUCCACAUCCUUGCCAAGACUUAUUUUCUAGUGUUUUGGCUUGUUUUUUUGCUUUUGACUGAUGAUAGCCAUCCUUCUGGGUGUGAUCCAGUUUUUUUUUUAAUUUACUUUUUGUACUGCUAAAUGAAUGUCUCACUUUGGCUCAUCAUGGUCUCUGGUCACUAUACUAUGAAAUUUAACAACGAGCAUUUAGUGGGUGGUUGUCACAUAAUAGUCACUGAACUGAGUUCUUUACUUUAUUAUCUUAUUCAGUCCCCAAAACAAUAAUGUUUUUGGCAAACAUUUAACUGAAAUAUAACACGCAUACAGAGAAGUGUGCAAAUGGUAGGUACACACAUUGAUGCGUUUUCACAAAGUGGAUACACCUAUGUGACCAGCACCUAGAUAAAAGGCUAAAACAUUAUCAGCACUCCAGAAAUCUCUUGGUGUCCUCUCCCACUGCUACACAGUCCCUCAUUCCCCCCCAAGCCUCAGUAGAAAGCAAUGAUAACUAUCUUUAAACUCAUAGGUUAGUUUUGCCUGUUUUUGAAUUUUAUAUAAAUGGAAUCGUAAACUACAAAAUCUGCGCGUUGCUUCCCUUACUAAAUAUGUUUAUGAGGUUCAUUCGUGUUUUCACAUGUAAUAAUAUUUCAUUUAUUAGCAUUGCUAAGAGGCAUUUCAUUUUAUGACUGUAGCACAAUUUAUUUAUCCAUUCUACUGUUGAGGGAUAUUUAGGCAGUUUCCUGUUUUAGGCUCUUACUAACAGCACUGCUGUGAACAUUCUUUUUGUAAAUAUCUUUUGAUGAAUAUAUGCACACAACUCUAUUGGGUAUUUACCCAGGAGUGUGAUUGCUAAGUCAUAGGAUGUAUGUCUAUGUAGCCUCAGUGGCUACUUCCAAAGGGAUUGAUAAAUAUACCUACUUCCCACAGGAUAGGAGAGUCCCAACCACUUGCCCACAUUGUUUCUCCUUUUCAUUUUAGCCAUGUGUGGUGAAUAUUAUCAUCCUAAUGCACUCCCCCACCUCAAUUCAUCUGUUGAAACCUAAUCCUCAAUGUGACGGUAUUUAGAGGUAGGGACUUUACAAGGUGAUGGCAGGUGCCCUUAUAAAAGAGGCCCCAGAUUCGUCCUUUGCCACCAUGGAAGGUUAUAGCUGGAAAGCCCAGUCUAUGCACCAGAAAGCGGGUCCUCACCAUCCACCAAAUCUUUGCCUCCAUGGUUGGUCUUCCCAGCCUUCAGAACUGUAAGAAAGGAAUGUCUGCUGUUUAUAAGCCGCUCCACCUAUGGUAUUUGGUUAUAGCAGCACAAAUAGACUGAGGCAGUGUCUGUUCAACGCCUGUGAACACAUAGUGGUAUUGCAUUGCGCUUUUAAUUUGCAUUCUUGGUGAACAGUGAAAUUAAGCACUGUUUUCAUAUGUUUAUUGGCUGCUUGGAUAUCUUCUCUGGGGCAGUGUCUGUUCAAAUCUUUUGUCCACUUUUCUAUUGUGUUGCUUUCCUUUUUUCUUAUUAAUUGUGAAAGUUCUUUACUCAGAAAAUGAGUUUCUGUACCAUAUAUUGCAAAUAUCUUUUCUCACGUGCCUUUUCACUGUCUUCAGGGUGUCUUUUGAUGAACAGAAGCUUUAAGUUUUAAUCCAGUCCAGUUUACUGUUUUAUUUUAAUGACUAGUACCUUUUGGUGUCCUGGUUAAGAAUCUGCCAUAUUCCAUCACUUUGGCACUGCUGGUGGGAAUGCAAGCUGGUGCAGCCACUGUGGAAAACAGUAUGGAGAUUCCUCAAAAAAACUAAAAAUAGAACUACCCUACCACCCAGCAAUUGCACUACUAGGCAUUUAUCCAAUGGAUACAGGUGUGCUGUUUCAAAGGGACACAUGCACUCCAAUGUUUAUAGCAGCACUAUCAACAAUAGCCAAAGUAUGGAAAGAGCCCAAAUGUCCAUCGAUGGAUGAAUGGAUAAAGAAGAUGUGGUGUGUGUGUGUGUGUGUGUGUGUGUGUGUGUAUAUAUAUAUAUAUACGCAUAUAUAUAUAUAUAUAUAUAUAUGCACACAAUGGAGUAUUACUCAGCAAGCCAAAAGAAUGAAAUCUUGACAUUUGCAACUAUGUGGAUGGAACUAGAGGGUUUUAUGCUAAGCAAAAUUAGUCAGUUGGAGAAAGACAAAUAUAUGACUUCACUCAUAUGAGGACUUUAAGAGACGAAACGGAUGAACAUAAGGGAAGGAAAGCAAAAAUAAUAUAAAAACAGGGAGGGGAACAAAACAGAAGAGACUCUUAAAAAUGGAGAACAAACAGAGGGUUACUGGAGGGGUUGUGGGAGGGGGGAUGGGCUCAAUGGGUAAGGGGCAUUAAGGCAUCUACUCCUGAAAUCAUUGUUGCACUACAUGCUAACUAGCUUGGAUGCAAAUUAAAAAAUAAAUUAAUUAAAAAAAAAAGAAUCUACCAUCCUCCAAGGUGAUGAAGACAGACAUGUUAUGUUUUUAUUCUAGAAUAUUUAUUAGUUUUCUUUUUCAUUUAGAUUUAAAAGGCAUCUGAAUAAAUCUGAAUACAUUUCUGUGUAUUAUAUGAGGUAAGGAUUUGAGAUUCACCUUUUCUCCAUACAGAGAGCCAAUCAAACAUAAGUUAGAUUGUGAAUUUGGCCUGGUCCAAAUACUACCUCCUUUCUGAAAUAUUUUCACAGAAUCCUAGUUGGAAAUAACUAAGUAUUUUUAAUUAACUUGAUAAAUAUUGUUUUGCACCUCUAGUAUUUGUUGGUGUAGCGAGGUUGCUAAGGGGAGGCCUCUCUGAGAGCGGACAUUUGAGCUCAGACCUGAAUGAAAUAAUGCCAGUCAUGAGCAAAGUUGGGGAAGAAAAUUCCAGGAAGAGGCACAAGAUGGCCAGUGCAGCCGAAGUAUAGUGUUCCAGAGGGUGUGAAGCACAAGAGAAUUCUUUCAAACGUGAAAUCAAAGGAAAGACAACCAGACUGGUAUCACCACAAGACAAUAAAGCCAUGCCCACAAAGUUCUGAGGGAAGCUGUUUUCCAGCCUGGAAUUCUUUCUGUCAGGAGUAAAGGCAGAAUGAAGACAUUUCAGACUUACAAGAACUUAGAAAUUUUACCUGUGAAGCAACUUUCUUUCCUUAGGGUUUUUACAUGGCGGUCUACUCCAAUGGGGUAAGGACAAGAAGAGGAAGACACGGGCCCACCCAGGAGGACAGUGAAGCGAAAAGCCACCAUGAAAAUAGUGUGUCUUUUCCAGACAAGUGGUUCAGAAUGGAGCCGGUUUGGACAAGGUUUGGGAGUAUUUUUAGCUUUUACUCGUGCUCUUUCCAAUCCAUUUUCCACAAUGUUGUUCAAGUAAACUUGGUAAAAUUUUACAUUACCUCCCCCUUCAGUUUAAAAGCCUUCAUGGCCCCCCAUAAGUUUCAGAAUAAAAGCCAUCUUUCAGUGUGAAAUAAAAAUCCCUUUGUGGUUGACCUCUGUCGUUUCUUACCGCUCUGGAUGGCCACUCAUACCCACUGCUCCCAUCACCGAUUUUCUUCUUCUUCCUUUUUAAUGUUUCAAGCUUCGGUUUAAAUUUUAGUUCGCUAACAUACAGUGUAAUAUUAGUUUCAGAAGUAGAAUUUAGUGACUCAUCACUUAACAUAUGACACCCAGUGCUCAUCCCAAGUGCCCUCCUUAAUGCCUAUCACCCAUUUAGCCCAUGCCCCCGCCCACCUCCCCUCCAGCAACCCUCAGUUUGUUCUCUAUAGUUCAGAAUCUGUUUUAUGGUUUCCCCUAUGUUCACCCAUUUUGUUUCUUAAAUUCCACAUUUUUUAAAGUUUCUACCUGCAUUUAAUACUAAGCUAGUAAUUCAAGGUUUUUUCCAUAUUUUCAUGUACAUCAUGACCAAACCGAGAAUAAUACAAUAUUUUAUUUGUCAAAAUUGUCUUCUUCCUAAUAUAAUUUAUUUAAAGUAAAUUUAAAAGAAUGUCAUUUUUUAUAUUGAGUGAGGCCAAAUAUUACCAAAGAUUUUAUUAAACAUAAAUUUUACCAUGUAAUAUUUGAUAAAAUAAAGGUUUUUUCUCAACAUAAUAAUUAAUUUUAUUUUUUUAAAUUUACAUCCAAAUUAGUUAGCAUCUAAUGCAACAAUGAUUUCAGGAGUAGAUGCCUUAAUGCCCCUUACCCAUUGAGCCCAUCCCCCCUCCCACAACCCCUCCAGUAACCCUCUGUUUGUUCUCCAUAUUUAUGAGUCUCUUAUGCUUUGUCCCCCUCCCUGUUUUUAUAUUAUUUUUGUUUCCUUUCCCUUGUAUUCAUCUGUUUUGUCUCUUAAAGUCCUCAUAUGAGUGAAGUCAUAUGAUAUUUGUCUUUCUCUGACUAAUUUCACCCAGCAUAAUACCCUCCAGUUCCAUCCACGUAGUUGCAAAUGUCAAGAUUUCAUUCUUUUUGAUUGCCGAGUAAUACUCCACUGUGUGUGUAUAUGUAUGUAUAUACAUAUAUAUACCACAUCUUCUUUAUCCAUCCAUCCAUCGAUGGACAUUUGGGCUCUUUCCAUACUGUGGCUAUUGUCGAUAGUGCUGCUAUAAACAUGGGGGUGCAUGUGUCCCUUCGAAACAGCACACCUGUAUCCCGUGGAUAAAUGCCUAGUAGUGCAAUUGCUGGGUCGUAGGGUAGUUCUAUUUUUAAUUUUUUGAGGAACCUCCAUACUGUUUUCCAGAGUGGCUGCACCAGCUUGCAUUCCCAUUAAAUUCCACAUUUAAGAGUGAAAUCAUAUGGUAUUUGUCUUUUGCUCACUGACUUAUUCUGCUUAGCAUAAUACACUCUAACUCCAUCCAUGUUGUUACAAAUGGCAAAAUUUCAUUCUUUUGGUGGCUGAGUAAUAUUCCACUGUGUGUGUGUGUGUGUGUGUGUGUGUGUGUGUGUAAUAUACAACAUCUUCUUUAUCCAUUCAUCCGUUGAUGGACCCUUGGGCUCUUUCCAUAACUCGACUAUCGUUGAUAAUGCUGCACACGGGUGCACACACCUGUUGAAAUCAGGAUUUUUGUAUCCUUUGGGUAAAUACCUAGUAGUACAACUGCUGGAUCAUAAGGUAGUUCUAUCUUUAACUUUUUGAGGAGCCCCCAUACUGUUUUCCAGAGUGGCUGCACCAGUUUGCAUUCCCCCCAACAGUGUAAGAGGCUUCCCCUUUCUCUGCAUCCUCACCAACAUCUGUUGUUUCCUGUGUUGUUAAUUUUAGCCACAAUCUCUGAUAUUUUUACAGACUUCUUAAAGCUAUCUGUUAUAGCAAAUCCUUUGUAGCUACUGCUCUCUCUCUGCAAGGAAACUCAUCUUUCCCUCCUUUCCCUGGUAGAUUCUUCCUUGUUUUUCAAACUUCAUUUUUUUGGGGAAACUAUGUGUUCUCCUACCCACCACUGGCUGCAGUGCCCUUGGUUUUAAACCCCGUGAUUUCUCUAUGCUUCUCACCUCUGGUACCGAUCUGUCUCUUUUUCAUUUUUUACUUAUUUAUCUGUUCUCCUCACUAGCUUAUAAUCUGCUGGAGAGUAGCGACUCCAUUUUAAUCAUUGUUGACGUUUCCAUAAUGGCCGCUCCGUGGUCAGACUUAGGUAAAAUCAUUUGCUAGCAUCAUUUGCUAUGGGAACUCUGAGCCCCAGUUUCCUCACUUGCAAAAUGAUAUGGUAUUUUCAUCUGCAGCACUUGGCACACAGAAGGUGCUCAGUAAGUUGUGUGGAAUGAAUCCAUGCAGAGUUCCCAGGGGAGGAAUAUCUCAGCAGGGGAGUAAGGAUGACUCACUUCAGUCAAUCUUGAUCCCUCUCCCCUCUCUCCCCUCUGAAAGAGGAGUGCUUGGCUUCCUCUCUAGGACCAUUAUGCCUUGAAAGUGGUGAGGAAAAUCUGAAAAAUGCAGCCUCUUUUCUUUUUCAUGUUUAUCCAUGUGUUGACCUAAGGAAUUCAGGAUAUCUCAGAGGGCAAAAAUUUCCCAAAGAUGCCAUUGUCUGACCAUUCUUACAAAGCUGUCUAAACAUAGUGUUACUUUAGGACCCAAAUUUUCUUAGAUGUGGAUGUGUUAGUUAUAGACUGGAGGAAGCAAAGGAAUCAUGUACCCAUUCUGCAGAUGGAAAACCUCGCAAUCUUCCCUAAACUCCUCAGAGCCCAAGAACUCAUAUAACCUGGCAAGAAUCUACCCAGAAGAGCCCUCCUGCCCAGUGUCUCCUCUCCCCCAGUUAAUUUUUUUGAUGUUUAUUUAUUUUUGAAAGAGAGAGAGAGAGCACAAGUGGGGAAGGAAAGAUUGAGAGAGAGAGAGAGAGAGAGAGAGAGACGCAGAAUCCAAAGCAGGCUCCAGGCUCUGAGCUGUCAGUACAGAGCCUGACGCGGAGCUUGAACUCAUGAACCAUGAGAUCCUGCCGUGAGCCAAAGCCUGAUGCCAUCGAGUUAAAUAUAUAUUCCCCCAGUUAAAUAUAUAUUCUCUUUUUGUUCUUACUUUGGAGGCAGCAUCCCCAUGGAGCUGCCCUACUGUGAAUGAGUUUCUAGAACAAAGAAAGACAGUUGAUCUUUCUCAAUGUGUCUAUAAGACCUGGAGCAGAGUCACGGAAUGGACUGUGCACUCCAUGAAGGUUCAUAGCAGCAUUAUUCGUAAAAGCCCCAACGUGAAAACAGCCCAAACAUCCAUCAACCAAUAAAUGGGUACAUAAAAUGUGGUGUAUCCCUACAUGGAAUAUUAGCAGAGAAAAGAAUGAAGUACAGACGCGUGCUACAACUUGGGUGAAUCUUGACAUCAUACUAAGGGAAAGAAGCCAGACGCAAAAGACCACAUAAUAUGUGAUUCCAUUUAUAUGACAUGUCCAGGGUAGGCCAAUUUAUAGAGACAAAAAGUAGGUUAGCUGUUGCUUGGGGCUGGGGGUGGGGACUGGGAAGCAAUGGGGAGUGGCCACUGAUGGGGUGGGAUUUCUUUCUGGGGUGAUGAAAACGUGGUAAAAUUGAUUGCACUGUUGGUCACACAACUCUGUGUAUAUACCAAAAGCCACUGAACUGUACACGAAAGUGCACAUUGAAAAAUGUGCAAAUUGUGUUUCAGUAAAGCUGUUAGGAAGAAAGAGAUCUUGGAAAGAGUUGGGGCGGGGAGAAAAAAAGAGACUGGAUUGUGCUCUCUCGUGUAUCGACUCCUGCAAGCAUUCAUUUUGCAGGAGAAAGAAUCAAGAUCCUAACAGUGGGUCUGAGACAGAUUUCUGGCCAUCAGGUCUUCCUCUCCCCCCCAGUAGAGAAGAAUUAGUGAUCAGAGCAGGCUCUAGCUGCAUAGCCUUUAAGGUUAACUUUUGCAAACUAUUGCUAACUUUUCCUUUUCCAUUUCCUUUCUUUCGGUCUUCUUCUCCUUCCCAGGGACCCAGUCGUCCUACAGGUAGAGCAGGUGCACUACAACUUGGAUCACAAACUGGGGCAACUGAUCUGUCUGGAAAGUGUGUUGAAGACAACACUGAUUCAGGGUGCAGUGCCCUGAGUUCGAGGUCUGCCUUCAGCGUUUCUCUGAAAUAAACAAACAUUAAAAAGAAUGAAAGAAAGAGCUCAGAAUGCAGGGGUUUCUGCCUUUUCUUCUCCAUGAGGUAUUGAACGUGAGGCUGGCCAAGGGAUGUCAGCUUGGCAGGAGGCACAGCACCAACCGCUACGUAUCUGCCAUCAAAUUCUGCUUAACAUGUAAAACUUCCUUUUCUCACAAGUGACUAUCUAUGCCACUCUCUGUCAAGGUGAACACUGGGACUGUGUUUCUCUAAGUAAUGUAGGUCCAACUUACUUUAAGAGCAAGGAGGCGUAGGGCAAGGCCACACUCAAGCCAUUGCCGAAGAAAGCAAGAGUGAAUGCUGGGAUUGUUCCAGAACUUGCCUUGAUGACUGAAGAGCUGUGGUUAGGGCAGGAACAGCUGGACUCACCCAAUGAUAUGGGACAAACCAGGAAGUAGGGGGUUAACUGUCAGGGCUUUUUGGACCCUGAAGACACUGCUGCACUAUAACCCUUGUGACUGUGCUCUAAUCAUUGCUACCUUGUUUCACGUUACUUUGAAUCUUUGGAUUCCUUCAACCAUGCCACCGAAAAACUUCUAGUAGCUGAAAAAGCUGAGCACCACUGGAUUACCUACUUAUUCCCAAAAGUACCCCACUGAUUAAGAUUGCCAGACAAAAUACAGGACACCCAGUUAAAUUUGAAUUUCAUAUAAAACAACAGUGCUUUUUUUGAGUAUAAGUGGGGUAGCCCAUGAAAUAUGUGUUUGUCUGAACUUCCAAUUUAAUUGGGAGUUGUCCAUUCAUUCAUUCAUUCAUUUGCUAAAUCUGGCCACCCCUACCUCUGAUUCCCUUUGCCAAGUGAUAGCAGCGCCCACUUCAGAUACUGUUUUGUAACGUGUGCGCCAUCUAGUGGUCACACGAACAAGGAGGAAACCAAGAAAUCACUUUAAAACAGCGGCGUGAGAAAACUGCAAAGACACAACUCUGCUUUCCUUUUUCAAAUGUUUUAGAUUUUGCUUUACCUACCUCUUUGGAUGUGGUGUCUGUGAUCAAAUUAACAGCCCAGAGCGUCCAGCAGAUACCUGAAAUCCCUUGUAAGUCAUGCCGUGUUCAAAGGGCAACACUCACCCCACCUGCCCGAGGCCUUGGGCUCCCCCAUUAACACAUAAACGUGAAAGUGCAGCCUUGUCCUUGAUCUACUGUGGUUCCCAGUUCCUAGUAAUUGUUUUACAAUAAGCACGUGGCUUUCAGCAGCAGCUAGUGUAUUACAUGUCAGGUGCAAUUUUACUAAACCUCAC
RNAcentral lists this long non-coding RNA (9869 nucleotides) under Lynx pardinus (Iberian lynx). Lineage: Eukaryota; Metazoa; Chordata; Mammalia; Carnivora; Felidae. The record is from RNAcentral.